Rattus rattus (black rat) is the source of this 756-nucleotide long non-coding RNA. RefSeq lists it as uncharacterized. The transcript is spliced from 4 exons. Lineage: Eukaryota; Metazoa; Chordata; Mammalia; Rodentia; Muridae. The record is from RefSeq and is a predicted model, not a curated record.
AGUAGCCGUGAAGCAGGAGGGCACGUAGCUUGUAGAGUAGCUGAAGUGUAGCCAGGCCAUAGCUGACCUGUUCAAUCUCACCCACCCAGUAGGUGCAGAUGGAGGUUGCUUUGCAGCUAAAUGCUGCGUACUGCAGAUGUUCAACUCAACAACACUGAGCUCCUACAACGUACUGUGCUCUUCGCAUGGUCGAUAGACUUUUACUAUGUUGCCCCUAGUUCGCCUGGAACCAGCUAUAUUGGCCAGGCUGGCCCUUGACCUUGCAGUAGUUUUUCUACCUCUGCUGUGAUGACGGGAUAUGCCACCAUGCCUAGGUCCUGGGGAUCAGAUUCAGAUUAUCAAGUUUGGAGGGAGGUGCCUUUCCCAGUCAUCUUGUGGGGCCCCUGCCCUUUCCUAAGGCAGAGUGCCAAAUCGAUGCUUCCUGUAUACCUUACCCCCCCACCCCCGUAUGCUGUUCCUUGUCAGUUGAGGAAAUUAUCUGAGCCAUGGUACUCGGGCCCCUGGCACAAGAGUAAAGAAGACCGCAUGCACUGUCAGGAAUAAAAAGCAGAGGUGAAGCCAGUGGUUGGACUCACCUAUGAUUGCAGCACUCAGGAGGCUGAGGCAGGAGGACUGCUUUGAGUUUAAGGUCAGCCUGGAAAACAUCCUAUUUGAGGAUAAGUUUGGCUACAUCAUGAGGCCCUAUCAUGGGGGUGGGGGAAUCAACAAACUAUACCCCCCCCCGCCAUUCCCUGCUUUUACUGGAAAUAAAGGUCU